This 254-nucleotide ribosomal RNA is filed under the name uncultured bacterium. RNAcentral describes it as "partial 16S ribosomal RNA". It matches the Rfam family "Bacterial small subunit ribosomal RNA", at positions 524 to 776 of the family's 1533-position model. The record is from RNAcentral.
UACGUAGGGUGCGAGCGUUGUCCGGAAUUAUUGGGCGUAAAGAGCUCGUAGGCGGUGUGUCGCGUCGGCCGUGAAAACCUGCAGCUUAACUGUGGGCUUGCGGUCGAUACGGGCAUCACUGGAGUUCGGCAGGGGAGACUGGAAUUCCUGGUGUAGCGGUGAAAUGCGUAGAUAUCAGGAGGAAUACCGGCGGCGAAGGCGGCCCUCUGGAUCGUUGCUGACGCUGAGACGCGAAAGCGUGGGGAGCAAACAGG